UAGUUCAAGGGACGGAGGGAUAGGCCAAAUAUUGUACCCCACUCUCCCUACCUAAGAUGGAAAACAUUUGUGGCAAAACAGCUCUUGCUCUCAAUGCAAUCUCUACCCCUUUCCCUAAAGUUUGAUCUCCAUUUCGGAAAGUCGUAUGAAUCGCACCAACCUGACAUGAAAUACAUGAUACGUAUCUACAAUUUAUGCAAAUAAAUGCGCGGAUAACAUGGAAGUGCCGCAACUAAAGCCGAAAAGGAGCCAUCGUCAGAGAGGCGAGUGAUGCAGAUCCAAUGGGAGAAAGUUAAUUCAAAACAGCAUGAAGCUAGAGCUGCUUGUUAGCCAGCAGAAUAAGUAGCCGGCAGUUUGGUCCAGUCUGUGAGCAUCUAUUGCAGUAGCGAGUGCACAAAGGAACUGUGAUUUUUCCUGACGCCACAGUAUGGGUCGCAGGAGUGCUGGAGGCCAUCCCAGCUAUUUUAAGGCAGGAGGUGCGGUACACUGAACUGGUUGCUAGCCAAUAGCAGGGGAGUUAUAAAACAACCGUUCGCACAUACAUUCACACCGACGGGAAAUUUUGAGUCUUCAAUUUAUCUAUGUUUUUGGGAUAUGAGAGGAAACGAGAAUGGCCAGAGAAAACCCACAAAGACACGGGGAGAACAUGCAAAGUCCACGUAGUUGGGGCCAGGAAUUGAGCCCCAUUCCGCAGAACUGCAAGGCAGAAGCUCUAAUCAGUCCUCCAUCAUGCCACCUAAAGCGGCUUGGUACUAUUACUCACACUAGUGCACACACCCUCCCCUCUGCACAUCUAUGUGUGCUCUCCAGAGUGCCCCAUCAGCACCAACGUGCCAUCUGUAGAAGCAAGACACAGAGCCGACCCGCUGGGUUUAUCUGUCAUUGAGCAGGCAGAGGACAGGCUUGGACGAAACUAAUUCAGAGCCUAUUACAGAUGACUUCAGACGAUAGAGAGACUACGCACUGUAGGGAUUGCCAGUCAACAGGUGACAGAAAACAAUCAUUUACAGUGCCACUCAGUGGGAACCAAACCCACAAUGUCCGCAUGGAAUCAGUACACCACCAGCGAAUCUUAAAUAUGAAUGUGCUUUUCUUAAAAUUAGAUUUAUCAAAAUGUGGUUUUAUAUGGUAUUAUAAUGUUUUUCUGUUUGGUAUGUGGUCUGAUAUUUUUUCAUUUACCUGUGGUGUUGAUUUAAUGAGAAAAUGAAUCAAAAAUCCAGCAAUGAGCAGCCACGACAGCUUCACCAAAAAUAGUCUUGUCGUCUCCUUCCAUCCAUCAGCGCCGUGGUUGACUGCUUCACUAUAAGCAAUUACUGCUCCAAAUGGGCCUAAUAACACUCAAAGGGAAGCAGUGCUCCAGCUCUGGGAGCAGCUACGCACUAUUUAUACAUCUUUUCUAAGGACACCUGACACGGCUCCAUCAGAGCUGUGGAGCUCCAGAAAAACUAUAAGAGCCUGUUUGUUAGCCAGCCUUUGGUUCAGGUGCUUGUCUUCCUCACUCUUAUUUAAUUGUGUCCAAGGUGGACAUGAACAUCCAUUGGGUGAGCCUUCAACACUCACAUCAGUAUCACUGGAAAUCUGGUUUUCAACAUGCUUAAAUUUUCACUGCAGAUUUCUAAUUCCAAUUCCAACUGAAUGGUGUAGUGACUAUGGCUACGUUGUCAUGGAAACUCCAAGAACUGAUAAACACUUGCAUUCCCACCUCCUGAAUCUCAAUCAGCCAGAUUGCUGUCAAAAGACACAGGCAACCUGGUUUAUAUCACCUGAAGCCGUAAAUCCUCAUGACUUGCACACCUGAUUGGGGAAGGAAGUAAUUGAUGACUGUUGAAAAAUAGAACAUGACCACCCCCAGUGGUGAUUAGAGACACUACGGACAUUAAAAUGACCAAGAGGCCCCCCGUUUAUGAUAAAGAGAAUAAAACUUGUCGAAUGAUCUAAAUAUUUAUCGUGAUGCCUGUGUGAUUGGGUUUUUACAGGUUGCCUUCUGAAUUUGCUUCUUCUGGAUUUGCCAUUGUGUUUGAUUUCAAACUGUAAAAAACAAGAAUACUUUGGUUUGCGCAUGUCAGAGAGUUAUGAAGAUGCCAUGAAACUUGAACCGUUUUCCCCAGCGUAGAUCUGUCGGCAGAGGCCCCUGGAAGCCACUCCUUACACUUCUAACAAUUUUGGUCGCACCUGAGACCAAGAGCAGGGCCCGCCGUAAAUUCAAAUGGCAGGAAAAGCUCAGAGCGCACACUAACGGAACAACAACUUUCUUUUUGCACAUCUUGUCCUUCAACUAAAGCUCCUUCAUUUCCCUCAUGUGACUCUCAGUGACAGACUAUCUACAGUUGUGAGUCGAGAAUGUCAGAAUGUUUAAAAAAAAAACAAAAAAAACAAGGCCUUUUAAUUUUGGGUCAAAACAGAACCUUUGCGCAAGUUCCAACUUUGUACAAGCUCAACACAGUUAACAUAUUCACGCACAUUUGUAGUCCACCCACACACAACAUAGUAUUUUUCUUUCCAUGAUCAAUAUUAUUAUUUUCUUUUUUCAUAAAAUCCCUAUGCGUUGUUUCCCUAAAGGUUUCCCUUUUGGAUUUACUGCAAUUCAAUUUUCUAUAAAAUUCCACUCUCAGUUGACUUUUUUCAUGUUUGAGUGGAACCAGAAAACUGCUGUAAUUGAGAACUCUCAUUUCAUAAAUGUAACAGCCUGUAAUGUAAUGCAAUGUUUUGUCACUCUUCCUAAAGUUAACAGAUAUAAGAGAUGUGGUACUGCCAGGUGUUAAAUUGUUUAUUUAUUUAAAACUGUGUUAUCAACAGUAUUAAUAAAAUGUCACACCAUGA
Long non-coding RNA from Syngnathoides biaculeatus (alligator pipefish), 2820 nucleotides. RefSeq lists it as uncharacterized. NCBI's taxonomy places the organism in Eukaryota, Metazoa, Chordata, Actinopteri, Syngnathiformes, Syngnathidae. The record is from RefSeq and is a predicted model, not a curated record. The transcript is spliced from 4 exons.